GUCAUCCCAUGUGAUGUCAACCUUUUAUAAUAAACCCACUCCCACAAUAACAGUAGCAGUCCAUUAAUGAGGCAGAAUCUUCAUGGCCUAAUCACCUCUUAAUUUUACUAUAAUGGGAUUUAACUUUGUAACACAUACUUUUUUGGGAGAUACAUUCAAACUACCCUAGUUAUUUAAUAUCAAGCAAUAAAGAAUGAUGACCUUUGAAAUAUGGGAAACAAAUGAAGUGAGCCCUUUAACUUCUCAGCUUACUACCCUGAGAGUUAUGACUGGAAAACUGAAUUUCCAGCCUAAUGAACUGCCUAAGUUGAGGACAUGGAGUACAGAACAGAAGGGUUUUCCAUUAGUAGUAAGGAACUAUUAGCUCAAGACUAGAUGUGGAUAGUACGCAGAAUAAUGGCCCUUCAAAGAUAUUUUUGUGUUAACUCCCAGAAUCUACAGUUAUGUUAGCUUAUAUGACAAAAGGUAACUAAGAUUGUAAAUGGAAUUAAGGUCAACUGACCUUGAAAUGGGGAGUUUGCCCUGGAUUAUUUAGUUGGACCUAACUAUAAGUGGAAAAAGCUUUGAGUGAUGUGAUAUGAAAAGAACUUGACUUGUUUACUGGCUUUGAAGUUGGAAAAUAAGGGCCAUGAACCAAGCCAUGUAGGUGGCCCCUGGGAGCUAGAAAUUAAGGAAAUGGAUUUUCUCUUUGAGCCUCCAGGAAAGAGGGGCUUUAAUUUAACCCAGGGAGACCCAUUUUGGAGUUAGGAACCAAAGCAACAUAGGAUGAUUUGUGUUAUUUUAAGC
RNAcentral lists this long non-coding RNA (786 nucleotides) under Marmota monax (woodchuck). Lineage: Eukaryota; Metazoa; Chordata; Mammalia; Rodentia; Sciuridae. The record is from RNAcentral.